GCCAGGUGUGGUGGCACACACCUGUAGUCCCAGCUACCAGGGAGGCUGAGGCAGGAGGGUCACUUGAGCCUAGGAGUUCAAGGCUGUGGUGAGCUCUGAUUGUGCCACUGCACUCCAGCCUGGGCAACAGAGUGAGACCCUGUCUGUC
This 148-nucleotide non-coding RNA is filed under the name Nomascus leucogenys (northern white-cheeked gibbon). Lineage: Eukaryota; Metazoa; Chordata; Mammalia; Primates; Hylobatidae. The record is from Rfam by way of RNAcentral.